Lytechinus variegatus (green sea urchin) is the source of this 213-nucleotide long non-coding RNA. RefSeq lists it as uncharacterized. The transcript is spliced from 3 exons. Lineage: Eukaryota; Metazoa; Echinodermata; Echinoidea; Temnopleuroida; Toxopneustidae. The record is from RefSeq and is a predicted model, not a curated record.
GUCAUUAGGUGCAAUGAUUCUGAGCGUAAUUGCAGUAACGGUUUCUCACAAGUGCUUACAACAUAACACAGAUAGAGCAGGGGACGCAGACAUGGCAGAUGGAGUGCCAGUGACCGCAAUGCACCAGACGGACUCGAACCACGAGCCUCUUUAUGCGAAUUCCAUCAUGUCCACACCUGGUGUUGGUGGAGAUUCCGCUGUUUCCCGAAGUGA